ACAGAAUCUACUCCUAAUCAUCCAGAAUGCCCUUGAAGUAGGUGGGCAGGCUCUAUGCUGCAGGUGGUGAAGUGGCCCUGACAUACCUUAUUCUUCCAGAGGCCCUUGAGGACUUCUAAGCCCUCUCACAUCAUCCAUCUAUUCCCAUUGAACCGAACCUUGCUUCAUAGUCACACUAAUCGCCAAAAGAGUUUCUGGCUAAGUGAGACCAAAGUACUCAUAACAACAAGCAUCUGUCAUCUACCAUAAUACUCUCUACUAUGGAUUUUAAUUGGUAGCAAUGAUUUCAAAACUUGACUGCUGUUGAGUUUUAGAUGAAUCAUCUUACCCAGCCCCUGCCCAUGCCUCCAACUGCAUCUUGAGCUACUCUCCAUUUGCUGAGGGCAUUUGCUCAGGACACUCCAGCUCCACUAGCCUUUUCCAGCUCCUCCAGCACUACGCUGACCUCCUUCCAACUCAUCCAACACAUCAAACUACUUCCUGCCUCAGAGCCUUCCCUCUGCUUGGACAUCUUUUUCUCCAUUUCUUGCUUGACCAACUUGUUUCUACUCAACUUCCAGAUUCCUGUUUUAAGGUUGGUUUUAAGAGCAGCCUUCUGAGAUCCUCCCAAGGUCAAGGGUUAGUCACCUGGUAAGAAGCUGCCAAUUGCAAAUAAGAGUGUGCACUUGCUGGAUGUCUUCUGUUUGCUCUCUUGACCCACCUUCUACCAUUCCCCACCUUCUUCUUUGCCUCCGGAAGGGAGCUUUCUGGACUGCACCAACAAGCUACUUUGUCCUCUGGCUUGUCCUCGGAUUCAGUCAGUGGGAGGUACCCACAAGGUGACUUAGAAGGCAGAAGAGGAAUGAGCACUUGGUCAUGUAAACAGAUCAUUGUCGUUUUCAAUGUGAAGUUACUUGGCUGCCUUGGAAAAAAGGUAAGACAAUGAAUAUUCUUGAUAAAGUAAUACAUGUUUAUUGCUAAAUAUAUGAAGAUUUCUGAUAGAUACUGAAAAUCUCCAAAGCAACACAAAACAGUAAGUUAUUAGGAUCUUCCCAAAUCUUGCUCUGUGCAUUAAAAAGGAAACUGGUGAAAACUUGAGGCAAUACAACUUUUAGAUAAAUACAAAAAAUUGGCCGGGUGCUAUGUAUGGCUCAUGCCUGUAAUCCCAGCAUGGGUGGAGGAUCACUUGAGCCCAUGAGUUUGAGACCAGCCUGGGCAACAUAGUGAGAACCUGUCUCUUAAAAAAAAUAGUCAAGCAUAGUGGUGCAUGCUUGUGGUCCUGGGUACUCGGGAGGCUGAGGUGGGAGGAUCUCUUGAGCCCAGGAGGCUGAAGCUGCAGUGAGCUGUUAUCACACCACUGCACUUCAGGAUGUGCAACAAAAUGAGAUUCUGUCUCAAAAAAAAAAAAAGAAAAAAAGAAAAAAAUUCACAUUUAAUGUCUCCAUUAUUGACCAAUUAGUUGUUUUAAUUUUCUAUCAUUGUGAAUCUUUCAAGCUUUUUGGAUUCAUGUCAAGUUUAGAGUGGCAUCAAGUUACAUGAAGAUUAAAUUAAAAUCUAUCCAAAUACAAAAUAAUCAAGAAAUAAGUUGGAUGCCUUCACACAUUCUAUAUUUGGCUGUUAAGACAAAUGCAUUAAGAGCUUGCAGUGUGACUAAUUUAUCAAGUGUUGUAAUCAGAUAUCAUCACAUGUAAAAUAUUUAAUAUUAGGAAAUUGUUCUUAUAUAUUGCUAGUGACACUGUGCUUGCAACAGGUUGACUACUUUGUAUUAAUAAUUAAAAAAAUCUAUAGCCUCAACAACAUAGUGAGACCUCAUCUCUACUGAAAAAAAAAAUAAAAAACAUUAGCUGGGUGUGGUGGCACAUAGUUCUACCCACUCAGGAGGUUGAUGCAAGAGGAUCACUUGAGCCCAGGCGACUGAGGCUACAGUGAGCUAUUAUUGUACCCCUGUACUCCAG
This 1934-nucleotide long non-coding RNA is filed under the name Homo sapiens (human). RNAcentral describes it as "HSALNT0140958". The record is from RNAcentral. Lineage: Eukaryota; Metazoa; Chordata; Mammalia; Primates; Hominidae.